CCUACGGGUGGCUGCAGUGAGGAAUCUUCCACAAUGGACGAAAGUCUGAUGGAGCGACACCGCGUGAAGGAUGACGGUCUAACGAUUGUAAACCUCUUUUCUGAAGGAGCAUAAUGAGAGUACUUCAGGAAUAAGGGACGGCUAAUUACGUGCCAGCAGCCGCGGUAAUACGUAAGUCCCAAGCGUUACUCGAAAUUACUGGGUGUAAAGCGUUUGUAGGCGGAUAAGUAAGUCAGAUGUGAAAGACCGAGGCUCAACCUCGUGUUUGUAUUUGAAACUUCUUUGCUAGAAUCAGGGAGAGGUAAGCGGAAUUCUAAGUGUAGGGGUGAAAUGCGUAGAUACUUAGAAGAACACCAAAAGCGAAGGCAGCUUACUGGAACUCGAUUGACGCUGAGAAACGAAAGCGUGGGGAGCGAAGAGGAUUAGAUACCCUUGUAGUC
RNAcentral lists this ribosomal RNA (440 nucleotides) under uncultured bacterium. RNAcentral describes it as "bacterial SSU rRNA". It matches the Rfam family "Bacterial small subunit ribosomal RNA", at positions 338 to 795 of the family's 1533-position model. The record is from RNAcentral.